GCCCAGAUGAGCGCCAGUGGUCUGGUGUGCGGCCUUCAAUCCCGUAGCUGAUAAGAUUAUGAGUGGUUCGAUUUCCCCCUUCCAGGCG
Caerostris extrusa is the source of this 88-nucleotide non-coding RNA. The record is from the annotation of a GenBank genome assembly. Lineage: Eukaryota; Metazoa; Arthropoda; Arachnida; Araneae; Araneidae.